AACGCACCUUGCACCCUUUGGCAUUCCGAAGGGUAUGCUCGUUUGAGUGUCAUUGUUACUCUCACACUCUCUGAUCCAUUUGGAUUUUGGAGAGCGGUGGACUUGGGUGUUGCUGCUUUGGUUGUGGCUCACCUUAAAUGCAUCAGUGCACCUCUCAUUUGGACAUAGUACGGCGUGAUAAGUGUCUUCGCCGGCACCUCACAAGAGGGUGGCUAAUUGGGAGCUCUGUGCUUUCGAACUGUCUUUUGACACUCUCUGACACCUUGACCUCAAAUCGAGUAGGAUUACCCGCUGAACUUAA
This 301-nucleotide unclassified non-coding RNA is filed under the name uncultured Sebacinales. RNAcentral's name for it is "sequence contains 5.8S rRNA gene, ITS2, 28S rRNA gene". Lineage: Eukaryota; Fungi; Basidiomycota; Agaricomycetes; Sebacinales. The record is from RNAcentral.